Molecule: ribosomal RNA, 446 nt
Filed under: uncultured bacterium
Lineage: Bacteria
Description: partial 16S ribosomal RNA
Rfam family: Bacterial small subunit ribosomal RNA
Source: RNAcentral
CCUACGGGGGGCAGCAGUCGAGAAUCAUUCACAAUGGGGGAAACCCUGAUGGUGCGACGCCGCGUGGGGGAAUGAAGGUCUUCGGAUUGUAAACCCCUGUCAUGUGGGAGCAAAUUAAAAAGAUCGUACCACAAUAGGAAGAGACGGCUAACUCUGUGCCAGCAGCCGCGGUAAUACAGAGGUCUCAAGCGUUGUUCGGAAUCACUGGGCGUAAAGCGUGCGUAGGCUGUUUCGUAAGUCGUGUGUGAAAGGCGCGGGCUCAACCCGCGGACGGCACAUGAUACUGCGAGACUAGAGUAAGGGAGGGGGAACCGGAAUUCUCGGUGUAGCAGUGAAAUGCGUAGAUAUCGAGAGGAACACUCGUGGCGAAGGCGGGUUCCUGGACAUUAACUGACGCUGAGGCACGAAGGCCAGGGGAGCGAAAGGGAUUAGAUACCCGAGUAGUC